Molecule: ribosomal RNA, 305 nt
Filed under: uncultured bacterium
Lineage: Bacteria
Description: bacterial SSU rRNA
Rfam family: Bacterial small subunit ribosomal RNA
Source: RNAcentral
UUGGCCUACGGGACGCAGCAGUGAGGAAUAUUGGUCAAUGGGCGGAAGCCUGAACCAGCCAAGUCGCGUGAGGGAAGAAGGCCCUGCGGGUCGCAGACCUCUUUGGACGGGGAGCAAGGCCGCCGACGUGUCGGCGGAAGGAGAGUACCCGUAGAACAAGCAUCGGCUAACUCCGUGCCAGCAGCCGCGGUAAUACGGAGGAUCCGAGCGUUAUCCGGAUUUAUUGGGUUUAAAGGGAGCGUAGGUGGAUUGUUAAGUCAGUUGUGAAAGUUUGCGGCUCAACCGUCAAAUUGCAGUUGAAACUG